Molecule: long non-coding RNA, 286 nt
Filed under: Ananas comosus (pineapple)
Lineage: Eukaryota; Viridiplantae; Streptophyta; Magnoliopsida; Poales; Bromeliaceae
Description: long non-coding RNA (ACOM_LNC011019)
Source: RNAcentral
AAAUUUUGUUCUUUUUUUUUUAUGACGUACUCGUUAUGAUUCAGCAGAAAGAAGGGGCCUGAGUCUAUUUUGCAGUAGAAAGUCGGAGAGUGAAAAAUUUAUAAAUUUUGCCAAAUCAAUUUUGCCUCUCUCCAUCAAAGUCAAAAGACGGCCAAUCUCCGUAUGAUUAUAUGUGAGAGUUCAGGUGAUCUCACAAUUUCAGUGUCGAAACAAACGCCAACACUGACGAUUUUCUCAUAAUCACGAGUUUAAACUUUGAAAUCGACAAAAAUGUUGAGCAGUGGUG